This 326-nucleotide ribosomal RNA is filed under the name uncultured bacterium. RNAcentral's name for it is "bacterial SSU rRNA". It matches the Rfam family "Bacterial small subunit ribosomal RNA", at positions 28 to 334 of the family's 1533-position model. The record is from RNAcentral.
GAUGAACGCUGGCGGCGUGCUCAACACAUGCAAGUCGAACGAAGCAUAUUAAACAGAUUCUUUCGGGAUGACGUUUUUUAUGACUGAGUGGCGGACGGGUGAGUAACGCGUGGGUAACCUGCCUCAUACAGGGGGAUAGCAGUUGGAAACGACUGGUAAUACCGCAUAAGCGCACAGGACCGCAUGGUCUAGUGUGAAAAACUCCGGUGGUAUGAGAUGGACCCGCGUCUGAUUAGCUAGUUGGUAAGGUAACGGCUUACCAAGGCGACGAUCAGUAGCCGACCUGAGAGGGUGACCGGCCACAUUGGGACUGAGACACGGCCCAA